This 253-nucleotide ribosomal RNA is filed under the name uncultured bacterium. RNAcentral's name for it is "partial 16S ribosomal RNA". It matches the Rfam family "Bacterial small subunit ribosomal RNA", at positions 524 to 776 of the family's 1533-position model. The record is from RNAcentral.
UACGUAGGGAGCAAGCGUUGUCCGGAAUCAUUGGGCGUAAAGCGCGCGUAGGUGGCUUCGUAAGUCCGUUGUGAAAGUCAAAGGCUCAACCUUUGAAUGCCGAUGGAUACUGCGGAGCUAGAGUACGGAAGAGGCGAGUGGAAUUCCUGGUGUAGCGGUGGAAUGCGUAGAGAUCCGGAGGAACCCCAGAGGCGAAGGCGACGCCCUGGCUCGUACCUGACGCUCAGCCACGAAAGCAUGGGGAGCGAACGGG